Molecule: long non-coding RNA, 858 nt
Filed under: Meleagris gallopavo (turkey)
Lineage: Eukaryota; Metazoa; Chordata; Aves; Galliformes; Phasianidae
Description: lncRNA (ENSMGAG00000018432.1)
Source: RNAcentral
UACAGAAGUAUAAUUAAUAGAUUUUUAGAACAGAAGAUCCAAUCAGUUCAUCUAGCAUACUGUCCUCUUUUAACACAGGUCACAGAACUUCAUAUAGCUCCUCAGCAUUAAUCCUGUAACUUGUCUGACUGUUGUGCAUCUUCCAGUCAAGGAAGUGCAAAUUAUUUUCCGUAGACCAAGAAGAGGUUUCUGAACUCCAGAAGAACAUACACUUGCUUUUAGUUUUGACUCUUCACACUUCAGCACAGUGCUUAAAAGUAAAAAUGAGAAUAAAACCAGGAAGACAACUUCACAAGUGGUAGCUUUUUCAAUUACUUACACAUGAUUUGUUUAUUACUUCAUAAUGGACACUGAAUUUAACUAAUUCACAUAAAAGUAAUAUAUUUGUGCGUUUGUAACAUCCAUGGCAUGUUAAUUUUAUCUCUGUCUUAGAAAGUUUCCAUUUCUCUCUUUUCCUUCUGUGCAUUCACACAUACACAGACACAUACGUUAGCACAGAUUUGUCAUGCUGUAGUUUUUCAAAUGGUAAACCUAUAAUUUAGCUUCUCUAUUACUCAUCUCAUAAAUUCAACAUCUAAUAGUUUUGUUGCUAUUUAUCAAUGGCUUGCUUGUUGUCAUGGAACACUGAUUCAGCUGUCAAGGUUAUUUGGUAAUCUGAGGCUCAUAAACCAGGGGAAGUUCUUUUUGUCAUGAGCCCAAAGUCAAUGCACACUUCUUCCCCGAAUUAAAUGUACUAAUAUUUUUUGAAUAAUAAAUAAUUUUAGCACUUCUAUAAUGAAGAGAUUUUUUAUGUUAUUUUUUUAGUCAUUGAUUGAGCUAGGAAAAAUAAUCUUGUGUCAGCUACAGUAUGAUCCAAAA